RNAcentral lists this ribosomal RNA (218 nucleotides) under Campeiostachys nutans. RNAcentral describes it as "Elymus nutans partial small subunit ribosomal RNA". The stretch from base 77 to 218 matches the Rfam family "Eukaryotic small subunit ribosomal RNA", at positions 722 to 864 of the family's 1831-position model. The record is from RNAcentral. Lineage: Eukaryota; Viridiplantae; Streptophyta; Magnoliopsida; Poales; Poaceae.
GAUUCGGCCAAUUGGUCCAUCUUUUAGAUGAGUACUGGUUGUGUUGGGUCUAUCCGCCUGGUGAUACGUAAUGUCCUUUAUUGGAUGUUGCGGGUAGUCAGGACCUUUACCUUGAAAAAAUUAGAGUGUUUAAAGCAGGCUCACGCUUGAAUACAUUAGCAUGGAAUAAUAGAAUAGGACGAAGUUGUUUUAUUUUGUUGGUUUCUAGGACAACCGUA